This 21-nucleotide unclassified non-coding RNA is filed under the name Chlamydomonas reinhardtii. Its description in RNAcentral is "small RNA Cre_1339". The record is from RNAcentral. Lineage: Eukaryota; Viridiplantae; Chlorophyta; Chlorophyceae; Chlamydomonadales; Chlamydomonadaceae.
CGGGUGACGCGAGAGCGUGUC